GACGAACGCUGGCGGCGUGCCUAAUACAUGCAAGUCGAGCGAAGUUUUUCUGGUGCUUGCACUAGAAAAACUUAGCGGCGAACGGGUGAGUAACACGUAAAGAACCUGCCUCAUAGACUGGGACAACUAUUGGAAACGAUAGCUAAUACCGGAUAACAGUAUUUCUCGCAUGAGAGAUAUUUAAAAGUUGGUUAUGCUAACACUAUGAGAUGGCUUUGCGGUGCAUUAGCUAGUUGGUGGGGUAAAGGCCCACCAAGGCAACGAUGCAUAGCCGACCUGAGAGGGUGAUCGGCCACACUGGGACUGAGACACGGCCCAGACUCCUACGGGAGGCAGCAGUAGGGAAUCUUCCGCAAUGGGCGAAAGCCUGACGGAGCAACGCCGCGUGAGUGAAGAAGGAUUUCGGUUCGUAAAGCUCUGUUGUUAGGGAAGAAUGGAUAUGUAGUAACUAUACAUGUACGAGACG
This 466-nucleotide ribosomal RNA is filed under the name Gemella morbillorum. RNAcentral describes it as "bacterial SSU rRNA". It matches the Rfam family "Bacterial small subunit ribosomal RNA", at positions 28 to 478 of the family's 1533-position model. Lineage: Bacteria; Bacillati; Bacillota; Bacilli; Caryophanales; Gemellaceae. The record is from RNAcentral.